RNAcentral lists this long non-coding RNA (894 nucleotides) under Equus caballus (horse). RNAcentral describes it as "lncRNA (ENSECAG00000028136.2)". Lineage: Eukaryota; Metazoa; Chordata; Mammalia; Perissodactyla; Equidae. The record is from RNAcentral.
GGCAAAGAAAAAUAAAUAACGUAGAUAUUCAUGGAAAGUCCAUAACCCAGGACCGAUGAGUAACUUGAAAAUGCAGGCAAGAGUCUACUGCCCUUUUAUCGUUUUUGCCUCUUGUUUCUAUUGCCUUUUAUUGCCUCUAUUGAUGGCAAUAGAAGCUGUGAACAUGGUAAGGAAAAAAGAGACUGCUAAAACGGACCUGGCACUGAGUCUUGUCACACAGCAUUGCAGGUCAAUGAGAACACAAGCCGAAUUUGACUUGACCUUUUUAAAAUCUUCACUGUAACCUUGAUCACCCUCUUAACUGAAUUAUGGAUCUCAGGAACAAGAUAUAGCCAAUAUGACUCACGGCAGGUGAGAGGACACAGCUGGAGAAGAGCAAGUCCAGGCUUCCGCUUCCCUUGGGUGGCUGACUUCUAGAUCUGCAAUGCUUAAUCAUAAAAAAAAGGAAGCAAUGGUUGAGGACAUUAAAUGAGAAAUGUGUCUUCAAAGUACCUCGCCUGAAGAGCCAAGAUAAUUUACCAAGCCCGGAAAAGGGCAAGAGCACAUCAGGAUCAGGAUGGACACAACAGAGCUCAGUCUUGAGAAACAAUCGCAGGUCUCCCUUUACUGAUUUUCCUGCCUGCCUUUGAUUCACUCCACAGUCCACGUCACCUCACUCAACUUCUAUUCUGUGGCCAGAACAGCCUUCAUGACGUGAACGUUCACCUGUCUUCCUCCUGGUUGCACUUUCAUAAUGGACUAUAAGAUGAAUUCUAAACACUUUUGCAAAGAAUAUAAGACUCUUCGGUAUUAGACACCUGCCUCCCCACUCAGAUUAAUCUUCCAAUGCUGUUCCCUUUGUCUGGACUACCUGAGACUCCCACAAGUCCCACAGCUUCACUUGAAAUGCUCCCU